GACGAACGCUGGCGGCGUGCUUAACACAUGCAAGUCGAACGGGUCUGCCCUGUUUUUUGCGGGGUGGGUCAGUGGCGAACGGGUGAGUAACACGUGAGUAACCUGCCCCUCACUUCUGGAUAACCGCUUGAAAGGGUGGCUAAUACGGGGUGUUCUGGCUGUGCCGCAUGGUGUGGCUGGGAAAGAUUCACUUUUGUGGUGUUUUGGUGGGGGAUGGGCUCGCGGCCUAUCAGCUUGUUGGUGGGGUGAUGGCCUGCCAAGGCUUUGACGGGUAGCCGGCCUGAGAGGGUGGGCGGUCACACUGGGACUGAGAUACGGCCCAGACUCCUGCGGGAGGCAGCAGUGGGGGUAUUGCACAAUGGGCGGAAGCCUGAUGCAGCGACGUCGCGUGAGGGAUGGAGGCCUUCGGGUUGUGAACAUCUUUCGCCGGUGAAGAAGGUCCUGCUCUUUGUGGUGGGGUUGACGGUAGCCGGGUUAUCAAGCGCCGGCUAACUACGUG
RNAcentral lists this ribosomal RNA (499 nucleotides) under uncultured bacterium. Its description in RNAcentral is "partial 16S ribosomal RNA". It matches the Rfam family "Bacterial small subunit ribosomal RNA", at positions 28 to 507 of the family's 1533-position model. The record is from RNAcentral.